AUGGCGACGCCCACGCCCAUGGCCGGCGAGGGGACGCUCGCCGCGGUGAUGCCGCUGUCGCCGCCCCCGCCGGCGGCGGCCGAGGCGGCCGCGGGGUCGGCGGCCGAGGCGCCGAUGCUGAUAUUCCUCUACUUCCACAAGGCGAUCCGCGCCGAGCUCGAGGGGCUGCACGGCGCCGCCGUGCGCCUCGCCACGGAGCGCGCCGGCGACGUUGGGGCACUGGCCGAGCGCUGCCGCUUCUUCGUCAACAUCUACAAGCACCACUGCGACGCCGAGGACGCGGUUAUCUUUCCAGCACUUGAUAUACGAGUCAAGAAUGUCGCUGGAACGUAUUCUCUAGAGCAUAAAGGCGAAAAUGACCUCUUUACCCAGCUUCUUGCUUUAUUACAACUCGAUAUUCAAAAUGACGAUGCUCUUCGGAGGGAACUUGCAUCCUGCACAGGAGCCAUACAAACGUGCCUCACCCAGCAUAUGUCCAAGGAAGAAGAACAGGUCUUCCCGUUGCUUACCAAGAAAUUUUCAUACGAAGAGCAGUCGGAUUUAGUAUGGCAGUUCUUAUGCAACAUUCCUGUAAAUAUGCUGGCAGAGUUCCUUCCGUGGCUCUCAGCUUCUGUUUCAUCUGACGAGCAUCAGGAUAUCCGUAACUGUUUAUGUAAAAUAGUUCCUGAAGAGAAACUUCUUAAACAGGUUGUAUUCACUUGGAUCGAAGGGAAAGCAACAAGAGAAGUGACACAGAGUGUUGUCAGUGAUAAUUUGGAAAGAAGUCAUUGUUGCAAGGAUGCUUCCUUUGUUAAUCAAGCGGAGAAACUCAUUUAUCCACUUGAACAGUCUAAAGUUGGGCAUAUAAAGCAUACAGAAUCUAAUGAUGGUCAGGCUGACAGGCACCCUAUAGAUGAGAUUUUAUAUUGGCAUAAUGCUAUCCGUAAAGAAUUAAAUGAUAUAGCAGAGGAGACAAGGAGGAUGCAGCAGUCUGGAGAUUUUGCUGAUAUAUCAGCCUUCAAUGCGAGACUUCAGUUUAUUGCAGAUGUGUGCAUCUUCCACAGUAUCGCCGAGGAUCAGGUUGUAUUUCCUGCAGUCAAUAGUGAGCUGUCCUUCGUGCUGGAGCAUGCUGAAGAAGAACGUCGAUUUAACAAUUUUAGAUGCUUAAUUCAGCAAAUCCAAAUGGCAGGAGCAAAAUCAACUGCAGCAGAGUUUUACUCCGAAUUGUGUUCACAUGCUGAUCAGAUAAUGGAGGCAAUUGAGAAACACUUCUGUAACGAAGAAACCAAGGUGCUUCCCCAAGCUAGGGUUCUUUUCUCUCCUGAGAAGCAAAGGGAACUUCUAUACAGAAGUCUUUGUGUCAUGCCAUUGAAGCUAUUGGAACGUGUUCUACCAUGGUUGGUAUCAAAACUGAGCGAUGAGGAGGCAUCUUCUUUUCUUCAGAAUAUGCGCUUGGCAGGUCAUCUCUUUACUCUGAUUAUUUUAAGUUAUUGUCUUUAUACACUAUACUUAGCUUUGAAGUUUUCAUUGGGAAUUCAAUGUUUGCUGAAAGAUUCAUGUGAAACAGCACCAUCAUCUGACACCGCAUUGGUCACUCUUUUCUCUGGUUGGGCAUGCAAGGCUCGCUCAGAGGAUAAAUCCAAUUCUGGAGAAUAUAUAUGCUUAACAUCAGGGGCAGCAAGAUGCCUGUUGGAUGAUGUAGAAGAGCUGAAAAAGUGUCAAUCAUUCUGCCCAUGUGCUUCACGUAUCAGUGCAGAUGUUGCUCUUCAUCUGGAAAAUGAAAAUGGUUCUAGGCCAGGCAAGCGAGGAAAUGAUGCAGAAUCUGUUCCUGGUACUAAUGGAAGUCACUGCUCUCAAAUUACUGACACUGUAGCAAGUCCAUGUAGCAAAAAACCUUGUUGUAUUCCUGGGUUGAGAGUAGACACGAGCAAUCUUGGCAUCGGUUCACUGGCUUCUGCAAAGUCCUUUCUCUCCCUGUCAUACAAUUCUUCUGCGCCCUCAUUAUAUUCAAGCCUUUUUUCAUGGGACACAGAUACAGCAUUGUCUUGUUCUGAUGGCAUCUCAAGACCAAUUGAUACCAUAUUCAAAUUUCACAAGGCGAUUCGCAAGGAUUUGGAGUACUUAGAUGUUGAAUCUGGAAAGCUCAUCGAUGGUGAUGAAUCUUGCCUUCGCCAGUUCAUUGGAAGAUUUCGUUUAUUGUGGGGUCUUUAUAGGGCGCACAGCAACGCUGAGGAUGAAAUCGUGUUUCCUGCUUUAGAAUCAAGAGAGCCAUUGCACAAUCUACAUGAGAGCCUGAACCAGCCACAUACUGAAUCGAAUGAAGCAGAGAAACGCUAUUUGAAUUCAUGUAAUGUGAUUGAUUCGACUAGGAAGUACAAUGAGCUUGCUACGAAGCUUCAAGGAAUGUGCAAGUCUAUCCGGGUCGCCUUGUCUAAUCAUGUUCACAGAGAAGAACUUGAGCUGUGGCCAUUGUUUGAUAAACAUUUUUCGGUGGAGGAACAGGAUAAGCUUGUAGGUCGUAUAAUUGGUACAACAGGUGCUGAGGUUCUCCAAUCAAUGCUACCUUGGGUUACAUCAGCGCUUAAUCAAGAAGAACAGAACAAGAUGCUGGAUACAUGGAAGCAAGCAACUAAAAAUACAAUGUUCGGUGAGUGGCUAAAUGAGUGGUGGAAGGGAGUUCCAACACCAUCUGAUUCUUCGUCAGAGACAUCCCCCAUUCCGGAAGACAGUCAUUCACAAGACAAGCUUGACCAGAAUGACCAGAUGUUCAAGCCUGGCUGGAAGGACAUAUUUCGAAUGAACCAGAGUGAACUUGAGGCAGAGGUUCGAAAGGUUUCACGGGAUCCAACACUUGAUCCAAGGCGAAAGGCCUAUCUAAUCCAAAAUCUCAUGACCAGCCGCUGGAUAGCUGCUCAGCAAAAGCUACCGGAUCCAAGAUCAGAAGAGUGUAGUGAAGGUGCCGGUAUACCUGGAUGUCGUUCUUCUUAUCGUGACCAGGAGAAGCAAAUAUUCGGUUGUGAGCACUACAAACGGAACUGUAAGCUUGUUGCCGCUUGCUGUAACAAGCUGUUUACAUGCAGAUUCUGCCAUGAUAAAGUUAGCGACCAUACAAUGGAAAGGAAAGCAACACAGGAGAUGAUGUGCAUGGUAUGCCUGAAGGUUCAACCUGUCGGUCCGAAUUGCCAAACUCCGUCUUGCAAUGGACUAUCCAUGGCAAAGUAUUACUGUAAUAUCUGCAAAUUUUUUGAUGACGAAAGGACUGUCUACCAUUGUCCGUUUUGUAAUCUGUGUCGUCUUGGUAAAGGUCUUGGUGUUGAUUUCUUCCAUUGCAUGAAGUGCAAUUGCUGCCUUGGAAUGAAACUAACAGAACACAAAUGUCGGGAGAAGGGGCUAGAGACAAACUGUCCAAUCUGCUGUGACUUCCUAUUCACAUCAAGCGCGGCAGUUAGAGCUCUUCCUUGUGGUCACUUCAUGCAUUCAGCUUGCUUUCAGGCAUACACUUGCAGUCACUACACUUGUCCUAUCUGCUGCAAAUCCUUGGGAGAUAUGGCGGUGUACUUUGGCAUGCUUGAUGCGUUGUUGGCUGCUGAAGAGCUUCCCGAGGAAUACCGCGAGAGGUGUCAGGACAUUCUUUGUAAUGACUGUGAAAGAAAAGGGAGAUCUCAGUUUCAUUGGCUGUACCACAAAUGCGUCUCCUGUGGUUCUUACAAUACCAGAGUUAUCAAAACUGAUACGGCAGAUUGUUCUACCCCAAACUAA
Molecule: ribosomal RNA, 3738 nt
Filed under: Triticum aestivum (bread wheat)
Lineage: Eukaryota; Viridiplantae; Streptophyta; Magnoliopsida; Poales; Poaceae
Description: partial small subunit ribosomal RNA
Source: RNAcentral